CCCCAGACUCCUACGGGAGGCAGCAGUGGGGAAUAUUGCACAAUGGGGGAAACCCUGAUGCAGCGACGCCGCGUGAGCGAUGAAGUAUUUCGGUAUGUAAAGCUCUAUCAGCAGGGACGAAGAUGACGGUACCUGACUAAGAAGCCCCGGCUAACUACGUGCCAGCAGCCGCGGUAAUACGUAGGGGGCAAGCGUUAUCCGGAUUUACUGGGUGUAAAGGGAGCGUAGACGGCGGCGCAAGCCAGAUGUGAAAGCCCGGGGCUCAACUCCGGGACUGCAUUUGGAACUGUGUGGCUGGAGUGUCGGAGAGGCAGGCGGAAUUCCUAGUGUAGCGGUGAAAUGCGUAGAUAUUAGGAGGAACACCAGUGGCGAAGGCGGCCUGCUGGACGAUGACUGACGUUGAGGCUCGAAAGCGUGGGGAGCAAACAGGAUUAGAUACCCUCGUAAA
This 448-nucleotide ribosomal RNA is filed under the name uncultured bacterium. RNAcentral describes it as "bacterial SSU rRNA". It matches the Rfam family "Bacterial small subunit ribosomal RNA", at positions 329 to 794 of the family's 1533-position model. The record is from RNAcentral.